Neomonachus schauinslandi (Hawaiian monk seal) is the source of this 100-nucleotide long non-coding RNA. RefSeq lists it as uncharacterized. Lineage: Eukaryota; Metazoa; Chordata; Mammalia; Carnivora; Phocidae. The record is from RefSeq and is a predicted model, not a curated record. The transcript is spliced from 3 exons.
GGCGUAGAAAGUAAUGACAGGAAUUGGAUGAAGUAAUUGAUCACUAAAGAACUACAGUGCUGGUGAGAUGUGUAAGAUUGAGGCAUUCUAUUGACAUUUU